GCUAACGACGUGCCAGCGGCCGCGGGAAGACAGAGGGUGCUAGCGGUAGUCGUAGUUACUGGGCGUAAAGCGCGCGUAGGUGGUUAAUUAAGUCAGAUGUGAAAGGCCGGGGCUCAACCCCGGAGCUGCAUUUGAAACUGCUCGGCUAGAGUACAGGAGAGGCAGGCGGAAUUCCUAGUGUAGCGGUGAAAUGCGUAGAUAUUAGGAGGAACACCAGUGGCGAAGGCGGCUUGCUGGACUGUUACUGACACUGAGGCACGAAAGCGUGGGGAGCAAACAGGAUUAGAUACCCGGGUAGUC
RNAcentral lists this ribosomal RNA (300 nucleotides) under uncultured Oceanicola sp. RNAcentral describes it as "bacterial SSU rRNA". It matches the Rfam family "Bacterial small subunit ribosomal RNA", at positions 496 to 795 of the family's 1533-position model. Lineage: Bacteria; Pseudomonadati; Pseudomonadota; Alphaproteobacteria; Rhodobacterales; Roseobacteraceae. The record is from RNAcentral.